UUCUGACCUCGGAUCAGGUGGGACUACCCGCUGAACUUAAGCAUAUCAAUAAGCGGAGGAAAAGAAACUAACAAGGAUUCCCUUAGUAACUGCGAGUGAAGUGGGAUGAGCUCAAAUUUGAAAUCUGGUAGUCUCUGGCUACCCGAGUUGUAAUCUAGAGAAGUGUUUUCUGUGCUGGACUGUGUUUAAGUUUCCUGGAUAUGGAACAUCAUAGAGGGUGAGAAUCCCGUCUUUGACACAGGCUGCCAGUACUGUGUGAUGCACUCUCAACGAGUCGAGUUGUUUGGGAU
RNAcentral lists this ribosomal RNA (290 nucleotides) under Hydnum minospororufescens. RNAcentral's name for it is "partial 28S ribosomal RNA". It matches the Rfam family "Eukaryotic large subunit ribosomal RNA", at positions 1 to 280 of the family's 3401-position model. Lineage: Eukaryota; Fungi; Basidiomycota; Agaricomycetes; Cantharellales; Hydnaceae. The record is from RNAcentral.